CCUACGGGCGGCAGCCGUGAGGAAUAUUGGUCAAUGGGCGCGAGCCUGAACCAGCCAAGUAGCGUGAAGGAUGACUGCCCUACGGGUUGUAAACUUCUUUUAUAAAGGAAUAAAGUGAGGCACGUGUGCCUUUUUGUAUGUACUUUAUGAUUAAGGUUCGGCUAACUCCGUGCCAGCAGCCGCGGUAAUACGGAGGAUCCGAGCGUUAUCCGGCUUUAUUGGGUGUAAAGGGAGCGUAGAUGGGUUGUUAAGUCAGUUGUGAACGUUUGCGGCUCAACCGUAAAAUUGCAAUUGAUACUGGCAGUCUUGAGUACAGUUGAGGUAGGCGGAAUUCGUGGUGUAGCGGUGAAAUGCUUAGAUAGCACGAAGAACUCCGAUGGCGAAGGCAGCUUACUAAACUGCCACUGACAUUGAUGCUCGAAAGUGUGGGUAUCAAACAGGAUUAGAUACCCGGGUAGUC
RNAcentral lists this ribosomal RNA (460 nucleotides) under uncultured bacterium. RNAcentral's name for it is "partial 16S ribosomal RNA". It matches the Rfam family "Bacterial small subunit ribosomal RNA", at positions 338 to 795 of the family's 1533-position model. The record is from RNAcentral.